This 16503-nucleotide ribosomal RNA is filed under the name Ictalurus pricei (Yaqui catfish). Its description in RNAcentral is "16S ribosomal RNA". The stretch from base 2069 to 3702 matches the Rfam family "Bacterial large subunit ribosomal RNA". The record is from RNAcentral. Lineage: Eukaryota; Metazoa; Chordata; Actinopteri; Siluriformes; Ictaluridae.
UAUAACCAAUAUUUACCGACACACACAACUUCACUAUGGUUUAGUACAUAAUAUGUAUAACUCAACAUCAUGGUUUAAGUACAUAUUAUGUAUAAUAUUACAUCAUGGUUUAAAUAAUUACAUGGUAUAUCCCCAUAACACCUAUAUUAAACAUUUUUGUUUAAAACAUUAAAAUAAGCCGUACAUAAACCAUAAUAAUUUAAACUCAUAAAUAAUUUAUCUUAAAAUGAGCGAUUGCAUAAUUCCUAAUACCCCCAUAAAACCAUUUUCUAUGCGUUACCCAACUAAUAUUGCUAACCAAUAUCCUAUGUAGUAAGAGACCACCAUCCCUGAAUACCUUAAGAUACACGGUCCUUGAACGAUCAGGGACAAAAUUUGUGGGGGUUACACAACUUGCACUAUUACUGGCAUCUGGUUCCUAUUUCAGGUCCAUACAUCUAUAAUCCCUCAUAAUAUGAAAUUUCCUGACAUCGGUUAUUGGUGUAACUUCGCUGUAGCAAAGCCCCCCCAAGCCAAGGCAUUCUUUUAUAGGCAUGGGGUUCUUUUUUUUUAGGAUCACUUUCAUCUGGCAUACUUCAUGCAGGCAAUCAACAAACAUUCAAGGUUGCACUAAUUUUUAUUUAAACCAACCAAAAAUGUAAUGCUUUAAUGACAUACUUGAAAUAAUUACAUAACUCUCUAUCAAGUACAUAACUGAUAUUGCCGCUUCCACAUACCUCCCUAAGAUCCCCCUGGGCUUCGCGCGCGGUAAACCCCCCUACCCCCCAUGCCGUACAAGUCCUAAUUAAUCCUGUUAAACCCCUAAACCAGGUAAGGCCCGAUUGGCGUAUUCAACAAGCUAUGAUAUGUGUUGAUAUAUAGUGUUAUAAAUUCGCAUUAUAUUGUAUAGCUAUUGUAGCUUAAACCAAAGCAUAACACUGAAGAUGUUAAGAUGGACCCUAGAAAUGUUCCAAAAGCACAAAGGCUUGGUCCUGGCUUUACUAUCAGCUUUAGCCCAAUUUAUACAUGCAAGUAUCCGCACCCCUGUGAGAAUGCCCUCAAUCCCCUGCCCGGGGACGAGGGGCAGGCAUCAGGCACACUUUCUAGUUCCGCCCAAGACGCCUUGCUACGCCACACCCCCAAGGGAACUCAGCAGUAAUAGACAUUAAGCAAUAAGUGUAAACUUGACUUAGUUAGGGCUAUUAGGGCCGGUAAAAUUCGUGCCAGCCACCGCGGUUAUACGAAAGACCCUAGUUGCUAGCCACGGCGUAAAGGGUGGUUAAGGACAACAAGGAAUAAAGCUAAAGACCCCCUGGGCCGUCAUACGCAUUUCGGGGGCACGAAGCCCUAACACGAAAGUAGCUUUAAAACACACCUGACCCCACGAAAGCUAAGAAACAAACUGGGAUUAGAUACCCCACUAUGCUUAGCCCUAAACCCAGAUGUACUCUUACACACACAUCCGCCCGGGUACUACGAGCACAGCUUAAAACCCAAAGGACUUGGCGGUGUCUCAGACCCACCUAGAGGAGCCUGUUCUAUAACCGAUACCCCCCGUUAAACCUCACCACUUCUUGUUUAUCCCGCCUAUAUACCGCCGUCGUCAGCUUACCCUGUGAAGGCCUAACAGUAAGCAAAAUGGGCCCACCCAAAAACGUCAGGUCGAGGUGUAGCGUACGAAGUGGGAAGAAAUGGGCUACAUUUUCUAUAUCUAGAAUAUUAAACGAAUGGCACCAUGAAAAUAAUGCCUGAAGGUGGAUUUAGUAGUAAAAAGCAAAUAGAGCGUCCUUUUGAAUUAGGCUCUGAGACGCGCACACACCGCCCGUCACUCGUCCCCUCUGUAAGUUCACCCAACAUUCCUAAUACAUUAUACAUCAACACGGGGAGGCAAGUCGUAACAUGGUAAGUGUACCGGAAGGUGCACUUGGAACAAUCAGGACGUGGCUGAGAUAGCCAAGCAUCUCCCUUACACCGAGAAGACAUCCAUGCAAAUUGGAUCGCCCUGAGCUAAACAGCUAGCUUAACCACCUAAAUACCUAAAACAACAUUACAACAUUUAAAAGACCUACAACACCCAAAACUAAAACAUUCUCCCGCCUUAGUAUGUGUGACAGAAAGGGCACCACAAAGCAAUAAUAAAAGUACCGCAAGGGAACGCUGAAAGAGAAAUGAAACAAAUAAUUAAAGCACAAUAAAGCAGAGAUUAAAUCUCGUACCUUUUGCAUCAUGAUUUAGCCAGCCCCCAGAGCAAAGCGCACUUUAGUUCAAGACCCCGAAACUAAGUGAGCUACCCCGAGACAGCCUAUUAAUUAGGGCCAACCCGUCUCUGUAGCAAAAGAGUGGGAAGAUCUCCGGGUAGAGGUGAUAAACCUACCGAACUUAGUUAUAGCUGGUUGCCUAAGAAAUGAAUAGAAGUUCAGCCUCGUACUCCUCAUCUCACAAAUAUUUUUAUACUAAUGAGCCCGAGAAACCUACGAGAGUUAGUCAAAGGGGGUACAGCCCCUUUGAAACAGGACACAACCUCACCAGGAGGUUAAAGAUUAUACUAAAUAAGAUACGCCGCUCCAGUGGGCCUAAAAGCAGCCAUCUGAACAGAAAGCGUUAAAGCUCCGGCAGACUACAAUCUAUUAUUUAAAUAUUUUAUCUUAAACCCCUAAUUAUACUAGGCCAAUCCAUGCCUGCAUGGAAGAGAUACUGCUAAAAUGAGUAAUAAGAAGGAACCCCCUUCUCCUAGCCUAUGUGUACGCUAAAUUGGACCUGCCACUAGCAAUUAACGAACCCAAUUAAAGAGGGCAUUAUGGUUAUAUUAAAUAUCAAGAAAUCUCCACACAUAUGCAUCGUUAACCCCACACCGGAAGGCAAAAUAGGAAAGACUAAAAGAAAAGGAAGGAACUCGGCAAACAUAAGCCUCGCCUGUUUACCAAAAACAUCGCCUCCUGCAAAAAUCAACGUAUAGGAGGUCUUGCCUGCCCAGUGACAUGUUAAACGGCCGCGGUAUUUUGACCGUGCGAAGGUAGCGCAAUCACUUGUCUCUUAAAUGGAGACCUGUAUGAAUGGUGGAACGAGGGCUUAACUGUCUCCCCUUUCAAGUCAAUGAAAUUGAUCUGCCCGUGCAGAAGCGGGCAUACAAGUACAAGACGAGAAGACCCUUUGGAGCUUAAGAUACAAGAUCACCUAUGUCAAGGACCUAGUCAAACUAAAUAGCACCUGAUCCCAAUCUUCAGUUGGGGCGACCACGGGAGAAAAUAAAGCUCCCACGCGGACUGGGGCAACCCCCCUAAAACCAAGAGAGACACCUCUAAGUCGCAGAAUUUCUGACCAAAAGAUCCGGCUUCCUGCCGACCAGCGGACCAAGUUACCCUAGGGAGAACAGCGCAAUCCCCUUUCAGAGUCCAUAUCGACAAGGGGGUUUACGACCUCGAUGUUGGAUCAGGACAUCCUAAUGGUGCAGCCGCUAUUAAGGGUUCGUUUGUUCAACGAUUAAAGUCCUACGUGAUCUGAGUUCAGACCGGAGCAAUCCAGGUCAGUUUCUAUCUGUAAUGCCACUUUCCCCAGUACGAAAGGACCGGAAAAGGGGGGCCCCUGCUAUAAGCACGCCCCACCCCAACUUAAUGACAUCAACUAAAUUAAACAAAGGGGGGCACAAUCCCACAUCAAGAUAAGAUUAUUAAGGUGGCAGAGCCCGGUAAUUGCAAAAGGCCUAAGCCCUUUCAGCCGGAGGUUCAAAUCCUCCCCUUAAUUAUGAUAGCCCUUUUAAUUACCCACAUUAUUAACCCCUUGGCCUACAUUGUGCCAGUACUACUAGCAGUAGCUUUCCUAACAUUAAUUGAACGUAAAGUCCUAGGGUAUAUACAACUACGCAAAGGCCCAAAUAUUGUAGGUCCCUACGGCCUCCUUCAACCAAUUGCAGACGGGGUUAAACUCUUUAUUAAAGAACCCAUCCGCCCCUCAACCUCCUCUCCAUUUUUAUUCCUCACCACCCCCAUGUUAGCCCUAACCCUGGCACUAAUACUAUGGGCCCCUAUACCCCUCCCCCAUCCCGUGACUGACCUAAACCUCGGUAUAUUGUUUAUUCUAGCCCUCUCUAGCCUAGCAGUUUACUCCAUUCUAGGAUCAGGGUGGGCCUCCAAUUCAAAAUAUGCUCUCAUUGGAGCCCUCCGAGCAGUCGCCCAAACUAUCUCCUAUGAAGUCAGCCUAGGCCUAAUCCUUCUAUCAAUUAUUAUCUUUACAGGAGGCUUUACUCUCCAAAUAUUUAACACAACACAAGAAGCUAUCUGACUUCUAAUCCCUGCAUGGCCUCUAGCUGCCAUAUGAUAUAUUUCCACCCUCGCAGAGACAAACCGAGCCCCUUUUGAUCUCACAGAGGGUGAAUCAGAACUAGUGUCAGGAUUUAACGUAGAAUACGCCGGAGGUCCUUUCGCACUACUUUUCCUAGCCGAAUACGCCAACAUUCUUCUAAUAAACACACUAUCAACCAUCCUAUUCCUAGGAGCAAUGCAUUUUCCACAUGCCCCUGAGCUAACUUCCAUAAACAUUAUAAUAAAAGCUGCCCUACUAUCCAUAUUAUUUUUAUGAAUCCGCGCUUCCUACCCCCGAUUCCGAUAUGAUCAACUUAUACAUUUAGUAUGAAAAAACUUCCUACCAAUAACAUUAGCCCUUAUUCUAUGACAUGCCGCCCUACCCAUCGCACUCACAGGACUGCCACCCCAACUAUAAUGGAGCCGUGCCUGAAUGCCCAAGGACCACUUUGAUAGAGUGACACAUGGAGGUUAAAAUCCUCCCAGCUCCUUAGAAAGAAGGGACUUGAACCCAUAUCAUGGAGAUCAAAACUCCAAGUGUUUCCAUUACACCACUUCCUAGUAAGAUCAGCUAAAUCAAGCUUUUGGGCCCAUACCCCAAAAAUGUAGGUUAAAAUCCUUCUCUUGCCAAUGAGCCCCUACGUCAUCACAAUUAUAUUAUCAAGCCUCGGGUUAGGCACAGCUCUUACCUUCAUAAGCUCCCACUGACUUUUAGCAUGAAUAGGCCUAGAAAUUAAUACCCUAGCGAUUCUCCCCCUAAUAGCUCAACAUCACCACCCCCGAGCAGUAGAAGCCACCACCAAAUACUUUCUAGCCCAAGCCGCUGCUGCAGCAACCAUCCUAUUUGCCAGCACCAUUAACGCCUGAACCACGGGAGAAUGAAACAUCUACUGCUUAUCUCACCCUGCCGCAACAAUCUUAAUUACCAUGGCACUAGCAUUAAAAGUGGGGCUCGCCCCCGUGCACUUCUGAAUACCCCCGGUUAUACAGGGCCUAAGCCUAACCACCGGACUAAUUAUGGCUACCUGACAAAAACUAGCCCCAUUCGCACUAAUUAUCCAAAUAGCCCCUUUCACCCCUCCGCUACUAUUAACAACCCUGGGAUUAUUGUCCGUCUUCAUCGGGGGCUGAGGGGGGUUAAACCAAACUCAAUUACGAAAAAUUUUAGCUUAUUCAUCCAUCGCCCACCUAGGCUGAAUAGUCAUUAUUACACAAUAUAAGCCCCAACUAACCGUGCUAGUACUAAUUACAUAUAUCAUUAUAACAUCAGCAACAUUCCUAACAUUUAAACUAGUAGCCGCUACAAAAAUUAACACCCUAGCAAUAAGCUGGGCCAAAGUGCCUACUAUUACAGCCAUAGCAGCUCUAACCCUACUAUCCUUAGGAGGGCUCCCCCCACUAACAGGCUUCAUACCAAAAUGAUUAAUUUUGCAAGAACUCACCAUGCAAGGACUACCACUCACCGCAACAAUAAUGGCACUCAGCGCCCUACUAAGCCUGUACUUCUACCUACGACUCUGUUACGCCAUAGCAUUAACAAUUUCCCCCAACACAAACAACUCCUCCGCCCCCUGACGCAUACAAAAUACACAAGCCACAGCCCCAUUAGCCACCCUAAUAAUUAUAACCCUACUACUUCUCCCCCUCACCCCCCUAGCCCAAACACUAACAAACUAGAGAUUUAGGAUAACACAUAGACCAAAAGCCUUCAAAGCUUUAAGUAGGAGUGAAAAUCUCCUAAUCUCUGUAUAAGACUUGCAAGACUUUAUCUCACAUCUUCUGAAUGCAACCCAGACACUUUAAUUAAGCUAAAGCCUUCCUAGAUGAGAAGGCCUCGAUCCUACAAACUCCUAGUUAACAGCUAGACGCUCAAGCCAGCGAGCAUUCAUCUACUUUCCCCGCCUCCCACCAAAAAGGCGGGGAAAGCCCCGGUAGGCGAUUAACCUACUUCUUUGGAUUUGCAAUCCAACGUGUGGUACACCACAGGGCUCCUGAUAGGGAAAGGACUUAAACCUUUGUUCAUGGAGCUACAAUCCACCGCCUAACUCUCGGCCACCCUACCUGUGACGAUCACGCGCUGAUUUUUCUCAACCAACCAUAAAGAUAUUGGCACCCUUUACCUUGUAUUUGGUGCCUGAGCCGGGAUAGUGGGCACGGCCCUUAGCCUGCUCAUCCGGGCAGAACUAGCUCAGCCCGGCGCCCUCCUAGGCGAUGACCAAAUUUAUAACGUUAUUGUUACUGCUCACGCCUUUGUAAUAAUUUUCUUUAUAGUAAUACCAAUUAUGAUCGGAGGAUUUGGAAACUGGCUUGUCCCCCUAAUGAUCGGGGCACCAGAUAUGGCUUUCCCCCGAAUGAACAACAUAAGCUUCUGACUCCUGCCUCCCUCCUUCCUACUUCUGCUCGCCUCCUCCGGAGUUGAAGCAGGAGCGGGAACAGGAUGAACUGUAUACCCGCCUCUUGCCAGCAACCUCGCACAUGCAGGGGCUUCCGUAGAUUUAACGAUCUUUUCCCUCCAUCUUGCAGGAGUUUCAUCUAUUCUUGGAGCCAUUAACUUUAUUACAACAAUUAUUAACAUAAAACCUCCCGCAAUCUCACAAUAUCAAACCCCCCUAUUUGUCUGAGCCGUCCUAAUUACAGCCGUUCUUCUACUUCUAUCCCUCCCAGUUUUAGCCGCUGGCAUUACAAUGCUUCUAACAGACCGAAACUUAAACACUACCUUCUUUGACCCCGCAGGGGGAGGUGACCCCAUCCUUUACCAACAUCUUUUCUGAUUCUUCGGGCACCCAGAAGUAUACAUUUUAAUUUUACCAGGCUUUGGUAUAAUCUCCCACAUUGUUGCCUACUACGCAGGCAAAAAAGAACCAUUCGGCUAUAUAGGAAUAGUCUGAGCUAUAAUGGCCAUCGGCCUUCUAGGGUUUAUUGUAUGAGCACAUCAUAUAUUUACUGUAGGGAUAGACGUGGACACUCGAGCAUAUUUUACAUCUGCAACAAUAAUUAUUGCAAUCCCAACGGGGGUAAAAGUAUUUAGCUGACUUGCUACCCUACAUGGCGGUUCAAUUAAAUGAGAAACCCCUCUACUCUGAGCCCUAGGUUUCAUCUUCCUCUUUACUGUUGGGGGCCUAACUGGCAUCGUCCUAGCCAAUUCGUCCUUAGACAUUGUCCUACAUGACACCUAUUAUGUAGUAGCCCACUUCCAUUAUGUAUUAUCAAUGGGCGCUGUAUUUGCUAUUAUGGGGGCCUUCGUUCACUGAUUCCCCCUCUUUACAGGGUAUACAAUACACGACACCUGAACAAAAAUUCACUUCGGAACUAUAUUUGUGGGGGUAAAUCUCACCUUCUUCCCCCAACACUUCUUAGGUCUUGCUGGCAUGCCACGACGAUACUCAGACUACCCCGAUGCCUACUCACUAUGAAACAUUAUCUCCUCAAUUGGCUCCCUGGUCUCCCUAGUAGCAGUUGUAAUAUUCCUUUAUAUUUUAUGGGAGGCCUUUACUGCCAAACGAGAAGUGCUCUCUGUUGAACUCACCUCCACAAACGUAGAGUGGCUACACGGAUGCCCCCCACCCUAUCACACAUUUGAGGAACCAGCCUUCGUGCAAGUACAAACAAACUAACGAGAAAGGAAGGAAUCGAACCCCCAUAAACUAGUUUCAAGCCAGUCACAUAGCCGCUCUGUCACUUUCUUCCAUAAGAUACUAGUAUAAUUGAACAGUACUCUGCCUUGUCAAGGCAAAAUUGUAGGUUGAAAUCCUGCGUAUCUUGAGCCUCACGGCUCAAUGGCACAUCCCUCACAACUAGGAUUCCAAGACGCGGCCUCCCCUGUAAUAGAAGAACUCCUGCACUUCCACGACCAUGCCUUAAUAAUUGUUUUCCUAAUUAGCACCCUAGUCCUAUACAUUAUUGUUGUUAUAGUCACCACCAAACUUACCAAUAAAUAUAUUCUAGAUUCCCAAGAGAUUGAAAUUAUCUGAACCAUCCUCCCAGCAGUAAUCCUUAUUUUAAUCGCCCUCCCCUCCCUUCGAAUUCUUUAUCUAAUGGAUGAAGUUAAUGAUCCUCACCUAACAGUGAAAGCCAUGGGCCAUCAAUGAUAUUGAAGCUAUGAAUAUACUGACUACGAAAACUUAGCUUUCGACUCCUAUAUAGUCCCCACACAAGACCUGGUCCCAGGACAAUUCCGACUACUUGAAACAGACCAUCGAAUAGUAAUUCCAAUAGAAUCCCCAGUGCGAGUACUAGUCUCAGCUAAAGACGUCCUACACUCCUGAGCUGUGCCCGCACUGGGCAUCAAAAUAGAUGCUGUCCCAGGACGACUAAACCAAACAUCCUUUAUUACCUCUCGCCCCGGAGUGUUUUACGGACAGUGCUCUGAAAUUUGCGGAGCCAACCACAGUUUCAUGCCCAUCGUCGUAGAGGCCGUCCCCCUAGAACACUUUGAAAACUGAUCCUCUCUUAUGCUUGAAGACGCCUCACUAGGAAGCUAAAUAGGGACUAGCAUUAGCCUUUUAAGCUAAAGAUUGGCGGCCCCCAACCGCCUCUAGUGACAUGCCGCAAUUAAAUCCCGCCCCAUGAUUUGCAAUUCUUGUAUUCUCGUGACUAAUUUUCCUGACAGUAAUCCCAAACAAAGUCUUAAACCACACCUUCACAAAUGAAAUCACAGCACUCAGUGCCGAAAAACUUAAAUCAGACACCUGAAACUGACCAUGGCACUAAACCUGUUUGACCAAUUUAUAAGCCCCACACACCUCGGCAUCCCCCUAAUUACUAUUGCACUUACUCUCCCUUGAAUUUUAAUCCCCUCCCCAACCCGCCGCUACCAAAAUAACCGAUUAAUCUCCCUACAAAGUUGAUUCAUCAAAACCUUUACACAACAACUGCUCACCCCACUAAAUCAAACAGGACAUAAAUGAGCCUUAAUUUUAGCCUCAUUAAUAAUCUUUAUUCUUACCCUAAAUGUGUUAGGAUUAUUACCAUACACCUUCACCCCCACAACACAGCUAUCCUUAAACAUAGGGUUGGCAGUGCCGCUAUGGUUAGCCACAGUAAUUAUUGGCCUCCGAAACCAGCCCACCGCAGCUCUAGGACACCUCUUACCAGAAGGAACUCCUGUCCCUUUAAUUCCAAUUCUAAUUAUUAUUGAAACUAUUAGCUUAUUUAUUCGCCCUCUCGCCCUCGGAGUCCGACUUACAGCUAACCUUACAGCCGGCCACCUGCUAAUUCAACUAAUCUCGAUAGCAACCAUUACCCUCAUGCCCAUAAUAACUACAGUGGCAGCCCUUACCGCCAUUCUUCUGGUACUAUUAACACUUCUAGAAGUUGCAGUAGCCGUUAUUCAAGCCUACGUAUUUGUCCUCCUACUAAGCCUAUAUUUACAAGAAAACGUAUAAUGGCCCACCAAGCACAUGCAUACCACAUGGUUGACCCAAGCCCAUGGCCCCUGACCGGAGCAGUAGCUGCACUCUUAAUAACAUCAGGUCUAGCAAUCUGAUUUCACUUUCACUCAACCGUUCUUAUAACACUAGGACUAAUUCUACUACUCCUUACCAUAUAUCAAUGAUGACGAGACAUCAUCCGAGAAGCCACCUUCCAAGGACACCAUACGCCCCCCGUACAGAAAGGCUUGCGAUAUGGAAUAAUCUUAUUUAUCACCUCCGAAGUAUUCUUCUUUCUAGGGUUUUUCUGAGCAUUUUAUCACUCCAGCCUCGCCCCUACUCCAGAGCUCGGAGGAUGUUGACCUCCCACGGGUAUUACUCCUUUAGACCCAUUCGAGGUCCCCCUCCUUAAUACUGCAGUAUUACUAGCAUCUGGUGUUACUGUAACAUGGUCUCACCACAGCCUAAUAGAAGGAGAACGCAAACAAGCAGUUCAAUCUCUCACCCUAACAAUCCUCCUAGGGUUCUAUUUUACCGCCCUCCAAGCCAUGGAGUACUAUGAAGCCCCUUUCACUAUUGCAGACGGAGUAUACGGCUCAACUUUCUUUGUGGCUACAGGCUUUCACGGACUACAUGUCAUCAUUGGCUCAACCUUUCUUGCCAUCUGCCUUCUUCGACAAAUCCAAUAUCAUUUUACAUCAGAACACCAUUUUGGGUUUGAAGCAGCCGCCUGAUACUGACACUUCGUAGAUGUUGUAUGGCUCUUCCUAUACGUCUCUAUUUACUGAUGAGGCUCAUAUCUUUCUAGUAUUAAAGUUAGUACGAAUGACUUCCAAUCAUCUAGUCUUGGUUAAAGCCCAAGGAAAGAUAAUGAACUUAAUCAUAAUUGUUACACUUAUUACUCUUAUCCUCUCCACAGUCCUGGCUGCAGUAUCAUUUUGGCUCCCCCAAAUAACCCCUGAUGCAGAGAAGCUCUCCCCCUACGAAUGCGGAUUUGACCCACUAGGCUCUGCACGCCUACCCUUCUCCUUGCGCUUCUUUUUAGUCGCCAUCCUAUUCUUGCUAUUUGACCUGGAAAUCGCCCUCCUCCUCCCCCUUCCAUGAGGUAAUCAACUACUAAGCCCCACCUACACCCUUCUAUGGGCUACAACUAUUUUAAUCCUCCUCACCCUAGGCCUAGUUUAUGAGUGAGUACAGGGUGGCCUAGAGUGGGCCGAAUAGGGGACUAGUCCAAAUUAAGACCUCUGAUUUCGACUCAGAAAACCGCGGUUUAAUUCCGCGGUCCCCUUAUGACACCAGUUUACUUCAGCUUCACCUCCGCAUUUACACUAGGACUUACAGGACUAGCAUUCCACCGCACCCACCUGCUUUCAGCCCUACUAUGUUUAGAAGGCAUGAUACUAUCUUUAUUUAUUGCCCUGGCCCUAUGAAUACUACAACUAGAGUCUACUGCCUUCUCCGCCGCCCCUAUCUUACUAUUAGCUUUUUCAGCCUGUGAAGCAGGCGCAGGUCUAGCCCUUCUAGUUGCCACAGCCCGAACUCAUGGAACAGAUCGGCUACAAUCCUUAAACCUACUACAAUGCUAAAAAUUCUAGUUCCAACAAUCAUGUUAUUUCCAACAAUUUGACUCUCCCCCCCCAAAUGAGUUUGAACCACCACAGCCCUUCAAAGCCUAAUUAUUGCCCUAAUCAGCCUUAGCUGAAUUAAUUGGUCCUCAGAGACAGGCUGAACUUCCUCUAACUUAUAUAUAGGUACAGACCCUUUAUCAACCCCCCUUUUAGUCCUCACCUGCUGACUGCUCCCCCUCAUAAUUCUCGCUAGCCAAAACCACAUUAAAGCUGAACCCAUUGCCCGUCAACGAAACUACAUUACCCUGUUGGCCUCCCUACAAACCUUUCUAAUCAUGGCAUUUGGAGCAACCGAAAUCAUUAUAUUCUACAUUAUAUUUGAAGCAACCCUAAUCCCCACCCUUAUUAUUAUCACCCGCUGGGGGAACCAAGCUGAACGACUGAGCGCAGGAACAUACUUCUUGUUCUAUACCCUGGCCGGCUCUCUCCCCCUGUUAGUUGCUCUACUCCUGCUACACCAAGGCACAGGAACCCUUUCAAUACUUAUUAUUCAAUACUCACACCCAAUAACCCUUGGCUCCUGAGGAGACAAGAUUUGAUGAGCAGGCUGUCUAAUUGCCUUCUUAGUAAAAAUACCCCUAUAUGGGGUUCACCUCUGGCUACCAAAAGCCCACGUAGAAGCCCCAGUAGCCGGAUCCAUAGUACUGGCAGCAAUUUUACUAAAACUUGGAGGCUACGGCAUAAUACGAAUAAUAAUUAUACUAGACCCCCUGUCCAAAGAGAUAUUAUACCCUAUCAUUGCACUAGCCCUGUGAGGCGUACUAAUAACAGGCUCUAUCUGCUUACGACAAACAGACUUAAAAUCACUAAUUGCCUACUCAUCCGUCAGCCACAUAGGCCUUGUUGCAGGCGGAAUUUUGAUCCAAACCCCAUGAGGCUUUACCGGGGCCCUCGUAUUAAUAAUUGCCCACGGACUAGUGUCAUCUGCCCUAUUCUGCUUAGCCAAUACCACCUAUGAGCGCACCCAUAGCCGAACAAUAAUCUUAGCCCGAGGAAUGCAAAUUAUAUUUCCACUAACAGCUGUUUGAUGGUUUCUCUCUAACCUAGCAAACCUAGCCCUCCCCCCUCUACCAAAUCUAAUAGGAGAACUUGUAAUUAUUACCGCACUAUUUAAUUGGUCACCCUGAACCCUAAUCUUGACAGGAGCCGGCACACUAAUUACCGCGGCCUACUCACUAUAUUUAUUCUUAAUGUCCCAACGAGGCCCCCUCCCACAACAUAUUAUUAAUCUACAACCUUUCCAUACACGAGAACAUCUACUAAUAGUUCUCCACCUCCUUCCAGUUGCUCUCCUUAUCACAAAGCCUGAAAUCAUGUGAGGUUGAUGGUACUGUAGAUAUAGUUUAAUACAAAACAUUAGAUUGUGGUUCUAAAAAUGGAAGUUAAAUCCUUCCUAUCCACCGAAAGAGGCCCGGGGCAAUAGAGACUGCUAAUCCCUACCACCACGGUUAAAUUCCGUGGCUCAUUCAAAGCUCCUAAAGGAUAAUAGUUCAUCCGUUGGUCUUAGGAACCAAAAACUCUUGGUGCAACUCCAAGUAGCAGCUAUGGCAGAUAUUAUAACCACCACCCUUCUUCUCACCCUAGCAAUCCUAAUGUGGCCUCUCAUAACAACACUAAAUCCAACCCCCCUAAACCAAAAAUGGGCCCUAAAAUACGUCAAAGCCGCUGUAAGCACUGCAUUCUUUAUCAAUACUAUUCCCCUUAUUAUUUUUUUAGACCAGGGAACAGAAAGUGUUAUCACCACCUGAAACUGAAUAAAUAUCAUAAACUUUGAUAUUAAUAUUAGCUUUAAAUUUGACCAUUACUCACUAAUCUUCACCCCCAUCGCCCUGUAUGUAACAUGGUCUAUUCUAGAAUUUGCAUCAUGAUAUAUACACUCUGACCCCUACCUAAAUCGGUUCUUUAAAUAUCUACUACUAUUUCUAGUAGCUAUAGUCAUCUUAGUUACUGCCAACAACAUAUUUCAAUUAUUUAUCGGCUGAGAAGGCGUCGGCAUUAUAUCCUUCCUAUUAAUUGGGUGAUGACAUGGCCGAGCCGAUGCUAAUACAGCAGCCCUACAAGCAGUUAUCUACAACCGAGUUGGUGAUGUCGGCCUAGUCCUAACCAUUGCUUGAAUUGCAAUAAACCUCAAUUCCUGAGAAAUUCCACAAAUUUUUCUACUAUCCAAAGACUUUGAUAUAACCCUCCCAUUAAUAGGCCUUAUCUUGGCUGCUACAGGAAAAUCUGCCCAGUUUGGACUACACCCAUGGCUACCCUCAGCGAUAGAAGGCCCAACCCCAGUUUCAGCCCUACUGCAUUCAAGCACAAUAGUAGUUGCAGGCAUCUUUCUACUAAUUCGACUCCACCCUCUAAUACAAGAUAAUCAACUAGCCCUAACCGUCUGCCUCUGCCUCGGCGCUCUAACGACCCUAUUCACCGCAACCUGUGCUCUUACCCAAAACGACAUCAAAAAAAUUGUAGCAUUUUCAACAUCAAGCCAACUAGGCCUCAUAAUAGUUACUAUUGGUCUAAAUCAACCCCAAUUAGCCUUCCUGCACAUUUGCACGCACGCUUUCUUUAAGGCCAUACUAUUCUUAUGCUCAGGCUCAAUUAUUCACAGCCUCAACGACGAACAAGACAUUCGAAAAAUGGGGGGUCUACACAAACUAAUGCCCUUUACCUCCUCCUGUCUUGUUAUCGGUAGCCUUGCAUUAACAGGCACCCCCUUUCUAACAGGUUUCUUCUCAAAAGAUGCAAUUAUUGAAGCCCUCAAUACCUCUCACUUAAACGCCUGGGCCCUAGCCUUAACACUAAUUGCCACCUCUUUCACCGCAGUCUACAGCCUCCGAAUCGUCUUCUUCGUAGUUAUGGGCUCCCCCCGAUUUUCAACUUUAUCCCCAAUCAACGAAAACCACCCCGCAGUAAUCGCAUCUAUUGAGCGCCUAGCCUGAGGAAGCAUCAUUGCAGGACUAAUCAUUACCUCAAACUUCCUUCCAUAUAAAACCCCCGUCAUAACAAUGCCCUUUUCCCUUAAAGUUGCUGCCAUAGCAGUUACGAUCCUGGGGGUUAUUAUUGCCCUGACACUAGCCACAACAGCCUCUAAACAAAUCAAAAUUACCUCUCUCCUGACUCCCCACAACUUCUCCAACAUACUGGGAUUUUUCCCAUCAAUCAUGCAUCGCUCCCUCCCUAAGCUUAACCUUGUACUAGGCAAACAAGCCACAAAACUAGAUCGCCAGUGAAUAGAGAUAGGCCCCAAGGGCCUCCACCCCCUACACUUCACCCUGUCCUCUAUAUUUGAUAGUAUUAAUACUAACAUCAUCAAGAUUUACCUAACCUUUUACCUAAUUUCCACAGCCUUAAUUAUUGUACUAUUCUCCGCGAUCUAAACCGCCCGAAGGGCCCCCCGGCUUAGACCACGAGUUAAUUCCAAAAUUACAAAAAGACACAACAACAAUACUCACGCACACACCACCAACAUCCCUCCGCCAACAGAAUACAUUAAAGAAAUUCCACCAAUAUCCCCCCGUACUAUAAAAAAUUCUUUAAACUCAUCAACAACUCAGUACCCCCCAUGCCCGCCCCAAAACCACCACACUGCCGCCCCCACCCCAAACAAAUACAUCAAAACAUAAACUUUUACCGACCCUGCUCCCCACGUCUCAGGAAAAGGCUCAGCGGCCAAGGCCGCUGAAUAUGCAAACACCACUAACAUUCCCCCCAAAUAAAUUAAAAACAAUAUUAAACCAACUAACGACCCACCAUGCCCCACUAAAACCCCGCACCCGACCCCUCCCGCCAUAGCUAGCCCCAACGCAGCAAAAUACGGCGCCGGAUUAGAAGCAACCCCCACCAACCCCACCACUAAACUUAACAAAAACAAAUCAAGAAAAUAUGUCAUAAUUCUCACCCGGGCUCUAACCAGGACUAAUGACUUGAAAACCCACCGUUGUUAUUCAACUAUGAGAACCAUGAUCACCCGAAAAACUCACCCGCUCCUCAAAAUUGCCAACAAUGCACUAAUUGAUCUGCCCGCCCCAUCCAAUAUCUCCGCAUGAUGAAACUUCGGCUCUCUAUUAUUAUUAUGUCUUAUAGCACAAAUCUUAACAGGACUCUUUCUAGCCAUACACUACACCUCAGACAUUUCAACUGCCUUUUCAUCCGUCGCCCACAUUUGCCGAGAUGUAAACUACGGAUGGCUUAUCCGCAACCUCCACGCUAACGGGGCCUCCUUCUUCUUUAUCUGUAUUUACCUGCACAUUGGGCGAGGCCUAUAUUAUGGCUCCUACCUUUAUAAAGAAACUUGAAAUAUUGGAGUGGUCCUUCUACUACUAGUAAUAAUAACCGCAUUCGUGGGCUAUGUACUACCAUGAGGACAAAUAUCAUUCUGAGGUGCCACAGUCAUUACAAACCUCCUAUCAGCUGUUCCCUACAUAGGAAAUGCCCUUGUACAAUGAAUCUGAGGCGGAUUUUCCGUAGAUAAUGCAACGCUAACCCGAUUCUUUGCAUUCCACUUCCUACUGCCAUUCGCAAUCAUCGCAGCAACGUUACUGCACGCCCUAUUUCUACAUGAAACAGGCUCCAACAACCCAGUCGGACUAAAUUCUGACGCAGACAAAAUCUCCUUCCACCCAUACUUUUCCUACAAAGACCUCCUAGGCUUUGUUUUCCUCAUUACAGCCCUCGCCUCCCUAGCUCUUUUUUCUCCCAAUCUCUUGGGUGACCCAGAAAAUUUCACUCCCGCCAACCCCCUAGUAACCCCACCUCACAUCAAGCCCGAGUGAUAUUUUUUAUUUGCUUACGCCAUCCUACGAUCAAUCCCCAACAAACUUGGUGGGGUGCUAGCACUACUACUCUCUAUCUUAGUACUCAUAGUUGUUCCCCUCCUCCACACUUCUAAACAACAAGGGCUCGCCUUCCGCCCUCUCUCCCAACUAUUAUUUUGAGCCCUGGUAGCAGAUGUAGCUAUCCUGACCUGAAUCGGCGGAAUGCCCGUCGAACACCCCUUCAUCAUCAUCGGGCAAAUCGCCUCCGUACUGUAUUUCUCCCUAUUUCUAAUCUUUAACCCACUAAUAGGCUGAUUAGAAAACAAAACCAUUAACUUCAAAUGCUCUAGUAGCUUAAUCAUAAAGCGCCGGUCUUGUAACCCGGAGACUGAAGGUUUAAUUCCCUCCUAGUGCCAGAAAAAAGAGAUUUCAACUCUCACCCCUAACUCCCAAAGCUAGAAUUCUUAAUUAAACUAUUUUCUGU